Molecule: ribosomal RNA, 500 nt
Filed under: uncultured bacterium
Lineage: Bacteria
Description: partial 16S ribosomal RNA
Rfam family: Bacterial small subunit ribosomal RNA
Source: RNAcentral
AUUGAACGCUGGCGGAAUGCUUUACACGUGCAAGUCGAACGGCAGCACGGACUUCGGUCUGGUGGCGAGUGGCGAACGGGUGAGUAAUGUAUCGGAACGUGCCCAGUCGUGGGGGAUAACGUAGUGAAAAUUACGCUAAUACCGCAUACGAUCUAUGGAUGAAAGCGGGGGAUCGCAAGACCUCGCGCGAUUGGAGCGGCCGAUAUCUGAUUAGGUAGUUGGUGGGGUAAAGGCCCACCAAGCCAACGAUCUGUAGCUGGUCUGAGAGGACGACCAGCCACACUGGAACUGAGACACGGUCCAGACUCCUACGGGAGGCGGCAGUGGGGAAUUUUGGACAAUGGGCGAAAGCCUGAUCCAGCCAUUCCGCGUGCAGGAUGAAGGCCCUCGGGUUGUAAACUGCUUUUGUACAGAACGAAAAGGUUUCUACUAAUACUAGGAGCUCAUGACGGUACUGUAAGAAUAAGCACCGGCUAACUACGUGCCAGCCGCCGCGGUAA